CAUGCAAGUCGAACGAGAACGUCCUCUUCGGAGGGCUAUUAAAGUGGCGGACGGGUGAGUAAUGCUUGGGAAUCUACCUGACAGUGGGGAAUAACCCGAGGAAACUCGGGCUAAUACCGCAUAAGUUCCACGGAAGAAAGGGGGCCUCUUCAUGAAUGCUCUCGCUGACGGAUGAGCCCAAGUCGGAUUAGCUGGUUCGUGAGGUAACGGCUCACGAAGGCAACGAUCCGUAGCUGGUCUGAGAGGAUGAUCAGCCACACUGGGACUGAGACACGGCCCAGACUCCUACGGGAGGCAGCAGUGGGGAAUAUUGGACAAUGGGCGAAAGCCUGAUCCAGCAAUGCCGCGUGUGUGAAGAAGGCCUGCGGGUUGUAAAGCACUUUCAGCAGGGAAGAAACGCCGGGGACUAAUACUCCCGCGGCACUGACGUUACCUGCACAAGAAGCACCGGCUAACUCCGUGCCAGCAGCCGCGGUAAUACGGAGGGUGCGAGCGUUAAUCGGAAUUACUGGGCGUAAAGCGCGCGCAGGCGGUCGAGUAAGUCAGAUGUGAAAUCCCCGGGCUUAACCUGGGAAUUGCAUUUGAUACUGCCCGACUAGAGUAUGGGAGAGGGAAGUGGAAUCUCCGGUGUAGCGGUGAAAUGCGUAGAGAUCGGAGGGAACACCAGUGGCGAAGGCGGCUUCCUGGCCCAAUACUGACG
This 700-nucleotide ribosomal RNA is filed under the name uncultured bacterium. Its description in RNAcentral is "bacterial SSU rRNA". It matches the Rfam family "Bacterial small subunit ribosomal RNA", at positions 54 to 745 of the family's 1533-position model. The record is from RNAcentral.